RNAcentral lists this long non-coding RNA (301 nucleotides) under Physcomitrium patens. RNAcentral describes it as "long non-coding RNA (PPAT_LNC012118)". Lineage: Eukaryota; Viridiplantae; Streptophyta; Bryopsida; Funariales; Funariaceae. The record is from RNAcentral.
GAAAAAUUAUAUAUAAACUUAGGGCUUUCUUUAUUUUCAAGCUUGAUUAAAUAAUUAGUGACAGCCAGAAGCCCAGCGUUUUCUUGAGGCAAAUUCUCUCUACCCCGACACUAUUCUCUAUGCCGUUUUGGAAAAACGUCCUUUCCUUGGAAAGAUCCUCUUAGAGGUAGGAAUUCUAUAGAAGCGUGGUCUGUUGUUCCAAUUUGGAGUCUAGGACGAAAGAAUAGAGGACCUCAUGGAGUUAAAGGAAAAGAGAAGAAAAUGAUGAGGGCAUUCGGAGAUUGGGAUUUUGGGGUCGGGG